ACAGACAAAUAAGAGUGACAUUUACUUAUUUACAUAAGUAAAUGUCACUCUUAUUUGUCUGUGC
Molecule: microRNA precursor, 64 nt
Organism: Oreochromis aureus
Lineage: Eukaryota; Metazoa; Chordata; Actinopteri; Cichliformes; Cichlidae
Source: Ensembl